Molecule: transfer RNA, 74 nt
Filed under: Erysipelotrichaceae bacterium
Lineage: Bacteria; Bacillati; Bacillota; Erysipelotrichia; Erysipelotrichales; Erysipelotrichaceae
Also listed under: 3 other names
Description: tRNA-Cys
Rfam family: tRNA
About the family: Transfer RNA (tRNA) molecules are approximately 80 nucleotides in length. Their secondary structure includes four short double-helical elements and three loops (D, anti-codon, and T loops). Further hydrogen bonds mediate the characteristic L-shaped molecular structure. tRNAs have two regions of fundamental functional importance: the anti-codon, which is responsible for specific mRNA codon recognition, and the 3' end, to which the tRNAs corresponding amino acid is attached (by aminoacyl-tRNA synthetases). tRNAs cope with the degeneracy of the genetic code in two manners: having more than one tRNA (with a specific anti-codon) for a particular amino acid; and 'wobble' base-pairing, i.e. permitting non-standard base-pairing at the 3rd anti-codon position.
Source: RNAcentral
GGUUCCUUAGCCAAGUGGUAAGGCAAUAGACUGCAACUCUGUGAUCGCCGGUUCGAAUCUGGCAGGAACCUCCA